GACGAACGCUGGCGGCGUGCUUAACACAUGCAAGUCGAACGGAAAGGCCCUGCUUGCAGGGUACUCGAGUGGCGAACGGGUGAGUAACACGUGGGUGAUCUGCCCUGCACUUCGGGAUAAGCCUGGGAAACUGGGUCUAAUACCGGAUAGGAGCCAUUUUUAGUGUGAUGGUUGGAAAGUUUUUUCGGUGUAGGAUGAGCUCGCGGCCUAUCAGCUUGUUGGUGGGGUAAUGGCCUACCAAGGCGGCGACGGGUAGCCGGCCUGAGAGGGUGGACGGCCACAUUGGGACUGAGAUGCGGCCCAGACUCCGACGGGAGGCAGCAGUGGGGAAUAUUGCACAAUGGGCGCAAGCCUGAUGCAGCGACGCCGCGUGGGGGAUGACGGCCUUAGGGUUGUAAACUCCUUUCGCUAGGGACGAAGCUUUUUGUGACGGUACCUAGAGAAGAAGCACCGGCUAACUACGUG
RNAcentral lists this ribosomal RNA (465 nucleotides) under uncultured bacterium. Its description in RNAcentral is "partial 16S ribosomal RNA". It matches the Rfam family "Bacterial small subunit ribosomal RNA", at positions 28 to 507 of the family's 1533-position model. The record is from RNAcentral.